UUAGCACUGGCGGCGUGCUAUACAUGCAAGUCGAGCGAAUCUGAGGGAGCUUGCUCCCAAAGAUUAGCGGCGGACGGGUGAGUAACACGUGGGCAACCUGCCUGUAAGACUGGGAUAACUUCGGGAAACCGGAGCUAAUACCGGAUAAUCCUUUUCUACUCAUGUAGAAAAGCUGAAAGAUGGCUUCGGCUAUCACUUACAGAUGGGCCCGCGGCGCAUUAGCUAGUUGGUGAGGUAACGGCUCACCAAGGCGACGAUGCGUAGCCGACCUGAGAGGGUGAUCGGCCACACUGGGACUGAGACACGGCCCAGACUCCUACGGGAGGCAGCAGUAGGGAAUCUUCCGCAAUGGACGAAAGUCUGACGGAGCAACGCCGCGUGAGUGAUGAAGGUUUUCGGAUCGUAAAACUCUGUUGUUAGGGAAGAACAAGUACCGUUCGAAUAGGGCGGUACCUUGACGGUACCUAACCAGAAAGCCACGGCUAACUACGUGCCAGCAGCCGCGGUAAUACGUAGGUGGCAAGCGUUGUCCGGAAUUAUUGGGCGUAAAGCGCGCGCAGGUGGUUUCUUAAGUCUGAUGUGAAAGCCCCCGGCUCAACCGGGGAGGGUCAUUGGAAACUGGGAGACUUGAGUGCAGAAGAGGAAAGUGGAAUUCCAAGUGUAGCGGUGAAAUGCGUAGAGAUUUGGAGGAACACCAGUGGCGAAGGCGACUUUCUGGUCUGUAACUGACACUGAGGCGCGAAAGCGUGGGGAGCGAACAGGAUUAGAUACCCUGGUAGUCCACGCCGUAAACGAUGAGUGCUAAGUGUUAGAGGGUUUCCGCCCUUUAGUGCUGCAGCAAACGCAUUAAGCACUCCGCCUGGGGAGUACGGCCGCAAGGCUGAAACUCAAAGGAAUUGACGGGGGCCCGCACAAGCGGUGGAGCAUGUGGUUUAAUUCGAAGCAACGCGAAGAACCUUACCAGGUCUUGACAUCCUCUGACAAUCCUAGAGAUAGGACGUUCCCCUUCGGGGGACAGAGUGACAGGUGGUGCAUGGUUGUCGUCAGCUCGUGUCGUGAGAUGUUGGGUUAAGUCCCGCAACGAGCGCAACCCUUGAUCUUAGUUGCCAGCAUUCAGUUGGGCACUCUAAGGUGACUGCCGGUGACAAACCGGAGGAAGGUGGGGAUGACGUCAAAUCAUCAUGCCCCUUAUGACCUGGGCUACACACGUGCUACAAUGGAUGGUACAAAGGGCUGCAAGACCGCGAGGUUUAGCCAAUCCCAUAAAACCAUUCUCAGUUCGGAUUGCAGGCUGCAACUCGCCUGCAUGAAGCCGGAAUCGCUAGUAAUCGCGGAUCAGCAUGCCGCGGUGAAUACGUUCCCGGGCCUUGUACACACCGCCCGUCACACCACGAGAGUUUGUAACACCCGAAGUCGGUGGGGUAACCGCAAGGAGCCAGCCGCCUAAGUGACAGGAUUGCAAAAUA
RNAcentral lists this ribosomal RNA (1466 nucleotides) under uncultured bacterium. Its description in RNAcentral is "bacterial SSU rRNA". It matches the Rfam family "Bacterial small subunit ribosomal RNA". The record is from RNAcentral.